UACAGAGACUGCAAGCGUUAUUCGGAUUCACUGGGCGUAAAGGGUGCGCAGGCGGCCGGGUGUGUCAGAUGUGAAAUCCCGAGGCUCAACCUCGGAACUGCGUCUGAAACUACUCGGCUAGAGUACUGGAGAGGGUAACGGAAUUCACGGUGUAGCAGUGAAAUGCGUAGAUAUCGUGAGGAACACCAGAGGCGAAGGCGGUUACCUGGACAGUUACUGACGCUCAGGCACGAAAGCGUGGGGAGCCAAA
This 250-nucleotide ribosomal RNA is filed under the name uncultured bacterium. RNAcentral's name for it is "partial 16S ribosomal RNA". It matches the Rfam family "Bacterial small subunit ribosomal RNA", at positions 524 to 773 of the family's 1533-position model. The record is from RNAcentral.